AAAUUGAAGAGUUUGAUCAUGGCUCAGAUUGAACGCUGGCGGCAGGCCUAACACAUGCAAGUCGAGCGGUAGCACAGAGAGCUUGCUCUCGGGUGACGAGCGGCGGACGGGUGAGUAAUGUCUGGGAAACUGCCUGAUGGAGGGGGAUAACUACUGGAAACGGUAGCUAAUACCGCAUAAUGUCGCAAGACCAAAGUGGGGGACCUUCGGGCCUCAUGCCAUCAGAUGUGCCCAGAUGGGAUUAGCUAGUAGGUGGGGUAACGGCUCACCUAGGCGACGAUCCCUAGCUGGUCUGAGAGGAUGACCAGCCACACUGGAACUGAGACACGGUCCAGACUCCUACGGGAGGCAGCAGUGGGGAAUAUUGCACAAUGGGCGCAAGCCUGAUGCAGCCAUGCCGCGUGUGUGAAGAAGGCCUUCGGGUUGUAAAGCACUUUCAGCGGGGAGGAAGGCGUUAAGGUUAAUAACCUUGGCGAUUGACGUUACCCGCAGAAGAAGCACCGGCUAACUCCGUGCCAGCAGCCGCGGUAAUACGGAGGGUGCAAGCGUUAAUCGGAAUUACUGGGCGUAAAGCGCACGCAGGCGGUCUGUCAAGUCGGAUGUGAAAUCCCCGGGCUCAACCUGGGAACUGCAUUCGAAACUGGCAGGCUAGAGUCUUGUAGAGGGGGGUAGAAUUCCAGGUGUAGCGGUGAAAUGCGUAGAGAUCUGGAGGAAUACCGGUGGCGAAGGCGGCCCCCUGGACAAAGACUGACGCUCAGGUGCGAAAGCGUGGGGAGCAAACAGGAUUAGAUACCCUGGUAGUCCACGCCGUAAACGAUGUCGAUUUGGAGGUUGUGCCCUUGAGGCGUGGCUUCCGGAGCUAACGCGUUAAAUCGACCGCCUGGGGAGUACGGCCGCAAGGUUAAAACUCAAAUGAAUUGACGGGGGCCCGCACAAGCGGUGGAGCAUGUGGUUUAAUUCGAUGCAACGCGAAGAACCUUACCUGGUCUUGACAUCCACAGAACUUAGCAGAGAUGCUUUGGUGCCUUCGGGAACUGUGAGACAGGUGCUGCAUGGCUGUCGUCAGCUCGUGUUGUGAAAUGUUGGGUUAAGUCCCGCAACGAGCGCAACCCUUAUCCUUUGUUGCCAGCGGUUCGGCCGGGAACUCAAAGGAGACUGCCAGUGAUAAACUGGAGGAAGGUGGGGAUGACGUCAAGUCAUCAUGGCCCUUACGACCAGGGCUACACACGUGCUACAAUGGCAUAUACAAAGAGAAGCGACCUCGCGAGAGCAAGCGGACCUCAUAAAGUAUGUCGUAGUCCGGAUUGGAGUCUGCAACUCGACUCCAUGAAGUCGGAAUCGCUAGUAAUCGUAGAUCAGAAUGCUACGGUGAAUACGUUCCCGGGCCUUGUACACACCGCCCGUCACACCAUGGGAGUGGGUUGCAAAAGAAGUAGGUAGCUUAACCUUCGGGAGGGCGCUUACCACUUUGUGAUUCAUGACUGGGGUGAAGUCGUAACAAGGUAACCGUAGGGGAACCUGCGGUUGGAUCACCUCCUUACCUUAAAGAA
This 1550-nucleotide ribosomal RNA is filed under the name Klebsiella pneumoniae. RNAcentral describes it as "bacterial SSU rRNA". It matches the Rfam family "Bacterial small subunit ribosomal RNA". The record is from RNAcentral. Lineage: Bacteria; Pseudomonadati; Pseudomonadota; Gammaproteobacteria; Enterobacterales; Enterobacteriaceae.